RNAcentral lists this ribosomal RNA (429 nucleotides) under uncultured Sphingobacteriales bacterium. Its description in RNAcentral is "bacterial SSU rRNA". It matches the Rfam family "Bacterial small subunit ribosomal RNA", at positions 952 to 1382 of the family's 1533-position model. The record is from RNAcentral. Lineage: Bacteria; Pseudomonadati; Bacteroidota; Sphingobacteriia; Sphingobacteriales.
CGAUGAUACGCGAGGAACCUUACCUGGGCUCAAAUGUAUGUUGACGUAUUCUGAAAGGGAUACUUCUUCGGACAAUAUACAAGGUGCUGCAUGGUUGUCGUCAGCUCGUGCCGUGAGGUGUCGGGUUAAGUCCCAUAACGAGCGCAACCCCUAUCAUUAGUUGCCAUCAGGUCAAGCUGGGGACUCUAAUGAAACUGCCUACGCAAGUAGUGAGGAAGGCGGGGAUGACGUCAAAUCAGCACGGCCCUUACGUCCAGGGCUACACACGUGCUACAAUGGCCGAUACAGAGGGCAGCUACCUGGUGACAGGAUGCAAAUCUACCAAAGUCGGUCUCAGUUCGGAUCGGAGUCUGCAACCCGACUCCGUGAAGUUGGAAUCGCUAGUAAUCGCGCAUCAGCCAUGGCGCGGUGAAUACGUUCCCGGGCCUU